ACACAAAAAUGAAAAGCUUGCUUCAGAGAGAGAGAGAGAGAGAGAGAGAGAUUCAAACUAGUAGACUGUGUACUAUGGAGAGUAUGAAAUGAAUAGUAGAUAGAUCAAAGCUAUUAGUUGAUGCUGAAGACUCAUAAGAUCUUAAAGAGAUUGAAGAAGGUGGUGGAAGCAGAAAAGUUAGUAAGAAAUCGAAGACUCAGAAGACCGAAAGGAAAAGAGAAAGAAAUGGUUUAUCAGCUACUCAUCUUAAUCAGUUGGUAUAUGCGUUUUGCAGAAAUGAUGCUAGAACGAUUAUUUGCAUCAAUUAAUGAGGUAAUCGAGCUAUUAGAUUGCAUAUAGAAGUAGGGAUUGAACCACUUAAGUUUGCUUUGGUCCAAUUUUAGAGCAAUGAAAAAAAAUGUAAAUUGCCAAUCUGCUGAGGGAUUAAUCUAAUCAAUGAUUUUUAGAAAGGUGAAUGUGGGUGAGUUUUGAAAGAUUACCAAUUUUGGAGGGAAUGAAUCUGAAGAGUCUGUUUUGCCUCAAUUCAAGACUAACAAAGUUAGAGAGAGUUGAAAUUAUGGAGCAUACCUUACCUUGUAGAAUUUCUAUUCCAAGAUGGGAGUAGAGUAGAAGUUUGGUUAAUAAUGUUUGAUUUCCAUUUCAGAAGAGUAUCUAUUUCUACAAGUGGUCUAACUAGAGAAUAUAAUAACUUGGCACCUCAAGAAAUUAUCUGCCUCACAGUCUUCUAUCGAGGGUGCGGUUUGGUACUCACGGAGAGCAGAACUCAACAUGAGUUGAAGACCAAGUUCGUAGAAGUCCACAUAUACACUCUACGCAGUGGCAAUGGAAGGAGAAACCUUGGAAUGUUCGGAUGAAGGUAUCUUUGCCAAAGUGCGGAAUGUUAUGACUUAUUGCUAUUGAACAAGAAGAAUGAUAAUCAUGCCAUGAAAGGGCGAGAGGAAACAUGCAGUCGUGCGAAUUAUUUGCCGGUAUGAAGAGUGACUGUGUUUUAACUUAGAGUGAUUACGCACAAGCUUUCAACACUGAAAAUGAUCAUGGAUUUUCAGGAAUCGUUUCAUAAAGUGUUUGCUCACAAGAACACCUUAGUCGUGAAAAGAGUUGGGUGAGGAAGAUACGGAGAUACUGGAGUUGAUUGAAAUUAAGGAGAUAGAAAGCCGUGAUCAGCCUUUCAACCAGCUGUGGGAGGAUGGGACCCUGGAUACCUACUUAAGAACUGGUCAGCUUCUGUUCCUAACACGAGAAGGUUCGAGGUGAUACCAGUCUUGCAUCUUUCAUGGGAGAGAUGAAAACUAAGAAAGAACUCAAUUGGGGUGUUGCUAAAGCAACCUUGGUGGCUCAACUGGACAGACCGUUGGGAUAAGCAAGCUCAGGAAGAUAAGAAUGGCUGUGGGCCGAUAAGGAUUUGCUCCUACUAGAUGAACAUUAUAGAAAAAACUACCUUGUCUAUUGCCUGUGGAAUAUUAGGAACAGGAAAGCUAAAUGGACAAGACAUCACUACAUAUACCCAACUAUACAAAUGAAAAGUGUCCUGCAGAUAAAUCCAAUGCGUUAGCCGACAGGGAGUGGGAGGAUCUUGUGAAAUUUUGGAUUACUGAAGAGCAUCAGGUACUUUCUGAUAGCAAUAUCAGUAGAAGCCACCAGAAAGCCAAGCACCCCAAUGUUAAGCUGAAACGGUAAUUGCAAAGGGAUCAAAGGCAGCUAUGUAGAAGAUGUACUUGACCCAGAAGCAGGGGAAUGCAUUGCCAUCAAAGAAGCACUUACAUGGGCAUCUGGGUUUGAGCAGGAUUCACAUAGAAGCAGAUGCAGAGCUGGUCGUGAAGUCCGUUAACUUGUUACUGGUGCUUUUGGACUCUCAAACUUUCCAGCUGAGCUUUAAAAGUUAUUUGGUAAAAAGCUGUCUUCAUUUUCUGCAGUUGCCUCGGCUACUCCACAUUUUUUUGUUUGCCAAGUGAUUGUAAAAUUCUAGUUUAUGUUGUGAAAUUCUAGUUUAUGUUGUGAAACUACUGAACAAGAAUAUGGAAAAUGGUUGUCUUGCUGGUGUACAAAAUCAACUGGUGGUAUAUUGUUGGCUUGUCACUCA
Molecule: long non-coding RNA, 2080 nt
Organism: Papaver somniferum (opium poppy)
Lineage: Eukaryota; Viridiplantae; Streptophyta; Magnoliopsida; Ranunculales; Papaveraceae
Exons: 5
Source: RefSeq, a predicted model, not a curated record